GAGUUACAGAAGGAGUCACAGUACCACUAAUCAGGAGGUAUAGAAGGAGUCAUAGUACCACUAAUCCACUAAUCAGGAGGUCUAGGAGGAGUCAUAGUACCACUAAUCAGGAGGUCUAGGAGGAGUCAUAGUACCACUAAUCAGGAGGUCUAGGAGGAGUCAUAGUACCACUAAUCAGGAAGUAUAGAAGAAGUCACAGUACCACUAAUCAGGAGGUAUAGAAGGAGUCAUAGUACCACUAAUCAGGAAGUAUAGAAGGAGUCACAGUACCACUAAUCCACUAAUCAGGAGGUCUAUAAGGAGUCAUAGUACCACUAAUCAGGAGGUAUAGAAGGAGUCAUAGUACAUAGCUCAGAUGGAGUCCAGAUGUUUGGUGUGAACCUGACCAGGACUACCACAGUGGAUGCAUAGUCCUGACGGUGAAGCACGGAGGUGGGAGUGUGAUGACAAAUGAGCUGAUACUCAAACAAAGUUUUAAAAAAGUAGUUUCUGUCAUUUUAUUUUGGAUGAAUUGUGAAGAAUUUAGUGAAAACACUGAUGAAAUAUGAUCUGACUUUAGAAGGAUGGAAUGUUUGAUCUUUUUUUCUUGUAUUUUUCCAGUUAAUUACCCC
Long non-coding RNA from Amphiprion ocellaris (clown anemonefish), 611 nucleotides. The record is from Ensembl. NCBI's taxonomy places the organism in Eukaryota, Metazoa, Chordata, Actinopteri, Pomacentridae.